Molecule: ribosomal RNA, 522 nt
Filed under: uncultured bacterium
Lineage: Bacteria
Description: bacterial SSU rRNA
Rfam family: Bacterial small subunit ribosomal RNA
Source: RNAcentral
AACGAACGUUGGCGGCGUGGUUGAGGCAUGCAAGUCGAGCGAGAACGGAUCCUUCGGGGUCCUAGUAAAGCGGCGGAAGGGUGAGUAACGGGCAGAUAACGUACCCCGGAGCGGGGGAUAACGGACCGAAAGGGCCGCUAAUACCCCAUAAGACCACGGUGAGGCACUCACUGAGGUCAAAGCGGAGGACCUUCGGGCUUCGCACUCUGGGAUCGGUUUGCUCCCUACCAGCUAGUUGGCGGGGUAACGGCCCACCAAGGCUACGACGGGUACCCGGGCUGAGAGGCUGACCGGGCACAUCGGCACUGAGACACUGGCCGGACACCUACGGGUGGCUGCAGUUCGGAAUAUUCGGCAAUGCGCGCAAGCGCGACCGAGCGACGCCGCGUGCGGGAUGAAGGCCCUCUGGGUUGUAAACCGCUGUCACAGGUGAACAAAUCACGCAGACUAACACUCUGUCGUGUUGAGUUAAGCCUGAGAGGAAGCCCCCGCUAAUCACGUGCCAGCAGCGGCGGUAAUACG